UGGUGGGUAGUUUGACUGGGGCGGUCUCCUCCCAAAGCGUAACGGAGGAGCACGAAGGUUAGCUAAUCCUGGUCGGACAUCAGGAGGUUAGUGCAAUGGCAUAAGCUAGCUUGACUGCGAGCGUGACGGCGCGAGCAGGUGCGAAAGCAGGUCAUAGUGAUCCGGUGGUUCUGAAUGGAAGGGCCAUCGCUCAACGGAUAAAAGGUACUCCGGGGAUAACAGGCUGAUACCGCCCAAGAGUUCAUAUCGACGGCGGUGUUUGGCACCUCGAUGUCGGCUCAUCACAUCCUGGGGCUGAAGUAGGUCCCAAGGGUAUGGCUGUUCGCCAUUUAAAGUGGUACGCGAGCUGGGUUUAGAACGUCGUGAGACAGUUCGGUCCCUAUCUGCCGUGGGCGCUGGAGAAUUGAGGGGGGCUGCUCCUAGUACGAGAGGACCGGAGUGGACGCAUCACUGGUGUUCGGGUUGUCAUGCCAAUGGCACUGCCCGGUAGCUAAAUGCGGAAGAGAUAAGUGCUGAAAGCAUCUAAGCACGAAACUUGCCCCGAGAUGAGUUCUCCCUGAGAC
This 563-nucleotide ribosomal RNA is filed under the name Klebsiella pneumoniae. RNAcentral's name for it is "partial 23S ribosomal RNA". It matches the Rfam family "Bacterial large subunit ribosomal RNA", at positions 2259 to 2821 of the family's 2925-position model. Lineage: Bacteria; Pseudomonadati; Pseudomonadota; Gammaproteobacteria; Enterobacterales; Enterobacteriaceae. The record is from RNAcentral.